RNAcentral lists this ribosomal RNA (240 nucleotides) under uncultured bacterium. RNAcentral describes it as "partial 16S ribosomal RNA". It matches the Rfam family "Bacterial small subunit ribosomal RNA", at positions 122 to 355 of the family's 1533-position model. The record is from RNAcentral.
UAACCUGCCCAAGAGACUGGGAUAACACCUGGAAACAGAUGCUAAUACCGGAUAACAACACUAGACGCAUGUCUAGAGUUUAAAAGAUGGUUCUGCUAUCACUCUUGGAUGGACCUGCGGUGCAUUAGCUAGUUGGUAAGGUAACGGCUUACCAAGGCAAUGAUGCAUAGCCGAGUUGAGAGACUGAUCGGCCACAUUGGGACUGAGACACGGCCCAAACUCCUACGGGAGGCAGCAGCA